Molecule: ribosomal RNA, 129 nt
Filed under: Earliella scabrosa
Lineage: Eukaryota; Fungi; Basidiomycota; Agaricomycetes; Polyporales; Polyporaceae
Description: partial 28S ribosomal RNA
Rfam family: Eukaryotic large subunit ribosomal RNA
Source: RNAcentral
GGUAGGACUACCCGCUGAACUUAAGCAUAUCAAUAAGCGGAGGAAAAGAAACUAACAAGGAUUCCCCUAGUAACUGCGAGUGAAGCGGGAAAAGCUCAAAUUUAAAAUCUGGCGGUCUUUGGCCGUCCG